RNAcentral lists this ribosomal RNA (342 nucleotides) under Triticum aestivum (bread wheat). RNAcentral describes it as "partial small subunit ribosomal RNA". The record is from RNAcentral. Lineage: Eukaryota; Viridiplantae; Streptophyta; Magnoliopsida; Poales; Poaceae.
AUGGCGGAGGCCUUAGCUCUCAAAUUUGGCCUAAAUUUAGCGCAAAGGGCGGGAUGUAAUCGCCUAAUCAUCAACUCUGACAAUCUGAAGGUGGUUGAGACAAUGCAAGACGGAGGACAGUUUGCGGGAGCGGCGGCGGCGGCAAUCUUCGAUGACUGCUAUCACUAUGCUUGUGAUUUUAUCAUGACUAAAUUCGAACAUUGUAAUAGAGAGGCAAAUAAAGUAGCACAUGAACUUGCUAGAUUAGCUAGAUUUUUUUCGACUUCGGUUUGGUUUGAGGAGCCUAUUAGUGAAAUUGUAACAUUUCUCACAAACGAUGUAUUGGUUAUUGCUAAUGAAUAA